Molecule: long non-coding RNA, 268 nt
Organism: Sebastes umbrosus (honeycomb rockfish)
Lineage: Eukaryota; Metazoa; Chordata; Actinopteri; Perciformes; Sebastidae
Exons: 2
Source: RefSeq, a predicted model, not a curated record
AAUAGAGAUAAAAUAAAAUUCACAAACUCUAAAAGCACUAAAAUUUGCAUUAAAAGAGAACUAUCUAAAGACAAAUGGGGGGGACAAAAAGGAACUUUUCUGGGAGUCAGCUGUACAACAAGGGGGCUAAAAACAUGACUCAAACAUAACCUGAAAGCUAUUUGGGGCUAUCCAGUUUUGUAAAAGUAUGUAAAUAUAUAUCAAAAUACAAUAAGAUGUAUUGUUUUGAUGUAAAUGCAUACUAAAUAAAUUAAUAUUUGAAACUUUA